AACGAACGCUGGCGGCGCGCCUAAUACAUGCAAGUCGAGCGAAGAAGACGUAGCAAUACGUUUGUAAAGCGGCGAACGGGUGAGGAAUACAUGGGUAACCUACCCUCGAGUGGGAAUAACUAGCCGAAAGGUUAGCUAAUACCGCGUACGCUCCUUGGACUUCGGUUCAGGGAGGAAAGCGAUACCGUGGGUAUACGCGCUCUUGGAUGGGGCUCGAUGUCCUAUCAGCUUGUUGGUGAGGUAACGGCUCACCAAGGCUUCGACGGGUAGCUGGUCUGAGAGGACGAUCAGCCACACUGGCACUGCGACACGGGCCAGACUCCUACGGGAGGCAGCAGUAAGGAAUAUUGCGCAAUGGGCGAAAGCCUGACGCAGCGACGCCGCGUGGGGGAUGAAGGUCUU
RNAcentral lists this ribosomal RNA (402 nucleotides) under uncultured bacterium. RNAcentral describes it as "bacterial SSU rRNA". It matches the Rfam family "Bacterial small subunit ribosomal RNA", at positions 29 to 418 of the family's 1533-position model. The record is from RNAcentral.